RNAcentral lists this transfer-messenger RNA (356 nucleotides) under Deltaproteobacteria bacterium HGW-Deltaproteobacteria-15. It matches the Rfam family "transfer-messenger RNA". From Rfam's summary of the family: Bacterial tmRNA, also known as 10Sa RNA or SsrA, is named for its dual tRNA and mRNA-like properties. Its role is to liberate the mRNA from a stalled ribosome. To accomplish this part of the tmRNA is used as a reading frame that ends in a translation stop signal. RNAcentral also lists the same sequence under 1 other name. The record is from RNAcentral. Lineage: Bacteria; Deltaproteobacteria.
GGGGGCGAAACGGGUUCGACGGGGGUAUGGAAACUUAAGUUGCAUGCCGAGAUGCCAUCUGAUCUCGUUAAACAGAUGGACUAAACACAAACGCAGACGAUUACGCGUACUCCUUAGCUGCUUAGGCAGCUAACGUCCGACCGAUCUUUCCUGCGGGGUUGAAUCGGGCGUCGACACAGCAGGAUAGCUUGCCUCAUUUCGCCUGUUGGUAGGUGAGCAAAAUAAAAACAGGUUAGCCUACAAGGUACCCUUCCCGGUAGGGGACCUGGAGGCGAAAACAAAAUAUCGGGAUACGCAUUGUAGACGCUUAAGUGGAAUACUUUCGGACGGGGGUUCGACUCCCCCCGCCUCCACCA